AACUGAAACUAUGACAAUCGUCUUUCAGAACUGAUAUGAAAUGAGAGUACUCAUUGCUGAUCACUG
Eptesicus fuscus (big brown bat) is the source of this 66-nucleotide small nucleolar RNA. RefSeq annotates it as small nucleolar RNA SNORD2. The record is from RefSeq and is a predicted model, not a curated record. The transcript has a single exon. Lineage: Eukaryota; Metazoa; Chordata; Mammalia; Chiroptera; Vespertilionidae.